RNAcentral lists this long non-coding RNA (260 nucleotides) under Elaeis guineensis (African oil palm). RNAcentral describes it as "long non-coding RNA (EGUI_LNC057191)". Lineage: Eukaryota; Viridiplantae; Streptophyta; Magnoliopsida; Arecales; Arecaceae. The record is from RNAcentral.
GCCAUUUCAAUGGUAUCUAAGGCAAGCUUAGCAGACCCUCCCACCGAUCUCAUUUAUCUGAUCAAUUUGGUGAACUAGAUUUUGAUUAGAUCACUAAGUGAUUCUAGUUAGUCCAUACUAUUAAGGUUGAUCAGUGUGACUGAUCUUAAUGUCAGUUCAAUCAGCAUGACCUAAUCAGAUUAAGUGACUUGAUGAAGUCAAUGGGAGGAUUGUGGUCUACUGAUUGAUCUUUUCUUCUCUUCUCUCUUCUUUAAACUAAU